Molecule: transfer RNA, 63 nt
Filed under: bovine gut metagenome
Rfam family: tRNA
About the family: Transfer RNA (tRNA) molecules are approximately 80 nucleotides in length. Their secondary structure includes four short double-helical elements and three loops (D, anti-codon, and T loops).
Source: RNAcentral
CGUAGUUCAGUGGAUAGAGCAGUGGCUUCCGAAGCCAAAGAUCGCGGGUUCGAAUCCCGCCGG